Non-coding RNA from Cinara cedri, 437 nucleotides. NCBI's taxonomy places the organism in Eukaryota, Metazoa, Arthropoda, Insecta, Hemiptera, Aphididae. The record is from the annotation of a GenBank genome assembly.
UCUGAUUUAAAAAAUCAUAAAGUACUAUAAUAUACCUAGUUGUUAUUCAUUAAAUAUUAGAGGAUUAAAACAAAUUUGUUUUAUUUUUUUGUUAUUAAAUUUUGUUAUUAAAUUUUGUUAGUGCAUAAAGUAGUUGUAUAAAAUUAAUGUUGUUUUUUUUUCAUUUUUAUGACUGGUAGUAUUUUAGAUUCUGAGCAAAGCAAGAAAUGUAUUAGUUUUACAAUAAUGUUUUAUUUUUUAUAUAUAUAUAUAUACUGUAUACAAAAUUUCUACCAAUAAUCUUACUCCGAUAUUCAAGUGUACCAUUUUUGCUGAAAGGAAAUUUUCCUGGAGUGAUACUUUAAGGAAGUCAUUUUUUGAUUUUCGUAGCAAUUUUCAUAAUAAUUGAGAAAAACUUAAAAAUUUAAGAAAUUAAUGCUUUUAUUAUUUUCAAUUUU